GAAAUGGGGAAUGUGUCAAAGAGACAACAACCCGACCAAAUAAAAAACAACAGCAGAGGGUCACCAACAGGUCUUCAAUGUAGCGAGAAAUUCCCGCACCAGGAGGCGUCCUUCAGCUGGCCCCUAAACAAAUAUAUACUAGUCCAGUGAUAAUGAACGCCAUACUAAUUUCCAAAUUGUACACAAGAAACCAAAAUUAAAAUAAUACAAGACUAACAAAGGCC
This 224-nucleotide long non-coding RNA is filed under the name Mytilus galloprovincialis (Mediterranean mussel). The record is from RNAcentral. Lineage: Eukaryota; Metazoa; Mollusca; Bivalvia; Mytilida; Mytilidae.